GGACUACUAGGGUAUCUAAUCCUUUUUGCUCCCCACGCUUUCGCAACUCAGAGUCAGGAAGGUCCCAGUGCACUGCCUUCGCCUUUGGUGUUCCCCACGAUAUCAACGGAUUUCACCCCUACACCGUGAGUUCCAUGCACCUCUAACCUCCUCUAGUCUUGCCGUAUCUCCUGCACUUCCAGGGUUAGGCCCUGGGCUUUAACAAAAGACGCGCAAAACCUCCUACGUGCGCUUUACGCCCAAUAAAUCCGGAUAACGCUUGAGGUCUACGUAUUACCGCGGCGGCUGGCAC
RNAcentral lists this ribosomal RNA (292 nucleotides) under uncultured bacterium. RNAcentral's name for it is "partial 16S ribosomal RNA". The record is from RNAcentral.